This is a long non-coding RNA of Patella vulgata (common limpet), 3308 nucleotides long. RefSeq lists it as uncharacterized. The record is from RefSeq and is a predicted model, not a curated record. The transcript is spliced from 10 exons. Lineage: Eukaryota; Metazoa; Mollusca; Gastropoda; Patellidae.
UCAACAAAUAUUUUUUUUUUUAAAUUUGAACUCCAUACAAAGUCUUAAUCCGGGGUCCACAAGUAAGAGAAAGGUAUUUUUUACUCAGACAAUAUAGCCAGACAGACUUGAAUGCUAAUUGGUGUUAAGAUGUCUGUAGUUAAAAUAAAGUUGGGCCCAAUAAACUGGUAGAUCAAAGGCCUGUUGAGCGCUCAUGCCCGGUGUGAUUUUAACAAUUGACUCCAAAUGCGUUGACUAGAAAAUAAGUAAAACUGUUAUUGAAUGUGAUUGGUUGAUAAAAUCAACGUACUAUAGGCUACAUUUUGUCUGCGAUAUCAUCUCGGUGGAAGCGGACAUUAAAUGAAGUGAUUUCACACAAUUAAUUUAACAUUUAACAACGUGCUGAAAUGAUUUUGGAGCAGUGAUAUGUUUGACAAAUGUAAGCUAAUGGUCACAUAGAAUACAAGACCGCAGAAUCACAUUAUGAUUAAAGCAGAAACGGCUCGACUUGAACCAGCAGACGGAAGAUAUGGACGAACAACAAGAAGAAGUUAUGGAGGUCCCAACAACUGAAACUAAGGAAGUAGAAGAAUCGUUUACAGCCGAAACCCGAUACGAUGUGCCAGUUCCGGUCAUGGAGUCCUCCAUCUCAGACGAUGCCGACGUUAGUGUCUUCUGCGACGAAGAACCCGUAGUGGUGUAUACGCAGGUAGAAGCUGGUUCCUCCCGUGGCAAGUCCAAGUUGUUUGACAACCAAGGGUUUAGUUAUACAAUUAAGGAAAGACAGAGAAGAAAACUACGAUUUGGAGGUGUUCCAAAAGAAGCGGACCAACACGAUGUCCGGCAACAGUAAUCCAAGAUGGUGAUACAUACCAACCAGGCUUAAAGAACCAUCUUCACCCAGCAGAACCCGGUAUACACACGGCACCAAGAUAAAAGUUACAGCAAAGCAUGAAGCCAAAGGAAAUGUUUUUACCAAGUCAUGUUCCUCAAUAGCGGAGAGAGUUUUAUCCAGUGUCGGUUCUGCAGAAGAACCCAUUCAUAGCAGACCACCCAUGGCAGCACUUGUAAGGUCGCUACAAAGAACCCGACAGACUCUGCGACCAAAAGAUCCCACUGACGUGUUGUCAAGCUCAAUGAUGAUAUGUGACUCUUUCCACCUUCCAGCAAUAAUUAUUGAGAAUUUACCAAGGACUCCAUUGGCAUUGAAUCGAAGAAAAACAGUUAAAAAUUUCAAUUAAUUUUUAUAUUUUCUAUUUUUUUUUUUACCAAUGUCCUACAAUGAUUAGUGUAUGUGAACAUACAAUCCAAAAUAAAGUAUUUAUAUGGCACUUACAUGCAACAGAGAGAGAGAGAGAAAUGACAUAAACAAGGCCUUACAUGUACUUGUAUUUGAAGAAUCAAGUAGUCCAUGUUGUGCCUAUAUGCAUACCGGUAAUUAACUACGACGAGGAUUAGCCUACUUCCGUUUCCACCCUUUCCCUGCACACUGUCUCAUUCUACAUGUAUUAAAAAUUGGUAUGUUACUGUAAUAUUAAUUAUGCACGAACCUACAUGUAGAGUUGUUGCAAGAUGGGUCCUUAUAUCUACUUAGCCUACAGACGCUAGGUCGUUUCGGGAAAAAGGACAGUUUCAAUAUUGGAUGUAUAUGCAAAUCACCCAGAAAAAGAUCAUGUAAUAACAAAAGAAAUUAUAAAAGAAAAAAAUGGAAGAAGAAAUGGCUGGAAAAAAUGAUGAUAGAGCAGCUUUUUCUUGUUACCCACCUCGGAAGAUCAAGUUGGAAAGGGCUAUUGAUAUUGUGGAGACGUUUUCUCACAGAUCUUGCUUAUCAGACAAAGACUAUGCUGGAACACCAUUGAAAGAGUAUUUGCUGUAUGAUAACAACAAGAAAACCCAAGCAUCAAUUUAUUUUAUACUUCUGGGAAAGAAUGCAUUUGACCCAAUUUUUAAAUAUUUAUUUUUUGUUUUUAAUGUUAAAUUUUCUUCCAAAACACAAUUAGAUUUUAAUUCUCUUCAGAAAUGUAUGUAUAAUAUAGCAAGUAAAGUGACAUAUAUAUCACUUAGAAUUUGGUCAGAAAUCAUAAAGUAUUUAAUAGGCAUUACUAGAAACCAAAUGUAGAUCAAAUACACCCAGAAUUACAAAAAACCUUGACCUACAUAAAGGUGACUUUCCCUUGCUUAUGAAAUGAAAUACGGUUUAGUAUCCUACUUUUCUGUGUUCUUAGAGUGAUUCUGCCAUACACCCUAAUCUUAUAUCAAAUAUUUCAACUGUCAAGGGUUCUUUAACGGGAACCCGGGGGGGGGGGGCAAUGAUUAACACGCACACAUUUGAUCAGGAAGUCUGUCAUUGAGUCAAAUAAUUCAAUUGUCAAGGGUUCUUCUAAGUGAACGCAGUGGGGAUGGUUUCGAUUCCGGGAAUGGGGGAGGGGGUGGUGGAUGGCCGAAUGGUAAGUACGUGCGUGCGGUAUCAUACGGCCUGUCAUUGGGUCAACUGGCGUGGUUUCGAAUCCCCGGUUGUACGUGACAAGGAGUAGGGUCGCCUGUCCAAUCUUGUGGGUUUUCUCCGGGACCUCCGGUUUCCUCCCACUGCUAAAGACCCCUAUGCACAACGAAUUAUUGAAAUAAAAUUAAACCAUAUGUUAAUCCCGAAAUGACCUAGUUUGUGUCAAGUGGACGUUAAACCCCAUCUCUCUCUCUCUCUCUUUCGAUUCCGGGCUUGUACCCAAUUAUCCCUUGCCAUAUCCAACACUACUGACAAGUGGGAACUAUGCCGGAAAAUCCAGUUGAAAUUUCUCGGCCAACACCUUAUACUCACUGAACCACUGUGGCUUAUGACUUGUGAUUGUAUAUAAAUUUUUUGUACAUAUGAUAUUUUUUUAUUUCAAUCCUGUAAUCUUGAUGUUUUACAUCAUUUUAUUACUCCUGCAAAAUAGUGCAUUUUUCAUUUGUUAGUUUUCUGUGUAUAUUAGUUAUUUCUAUAUGUCUCACAAAUCACUUGUAGUGUGAUUUUGUAGCACUUUUCAGUUUUUGAAAUUGUUUCAAUUUAGUGCAUAAUUAAUCUUAGUGCUUGGUUUGGAUGUUAUUAAAUUUAGAUAUUAUUUGAAUUAUAUAUUUUGGAGUAUGGGGUAGGGAUACUGUGUACAUAUCUUUAUAUUCUCAGUUCUUGUUUUGGGGUAAAGAACAAUUUAUAUAGCUAUUUUAUAUUUUGUGAUAGGUAAAGUGUGUGGGGUUAAGAACAAUUUAAAUAGCUAUGUUAUAUUUUGUGAUGGGUAAAGUGGGGUGUGUGUGUGUGUGUGUGUGUGUGUGUGGGGGGGGGGGGGGGUCAUUAU